GACGAACGCUGGCGGCGCGCCUAACACAUGCAAGUCGAACGAGCGAGAGAGAGCUUGCUUUCUCGAGCGAGUGGCGAACGGGUGAGUAACGCGUGAGGAACCUGCCUCAAAGAGGGGGACAACAGUUGGAAACGACUGCUAAUACCGCAUAAGCCCACGACCCGGCAUCGGGUUGAGGGAAAAGGAGCAAUCCGCUUUGAGAUGGCCUCGCGUCCGAUUAGCUAGUUGGUGAGGUAACGGCCCACCAAGGCAACGAUCGGUAGCCGGACUGAGAGGUUGAACGGCCACAUUGGGACUGAGACACGGCCCAGACUCCUACGGGAGGCAGCAGUGGGGAAUAUUGCACAAUGGGGGAAACCCUGAUGCAGCGACGCCGCGUGGAGGAAGAAGGUCUUCGGAUUGUAAACUCCUGUUGUUGAGGAAGAUAAUGACGGUACUCAACAAGGAAGUGACGGCUA
This 458-nucleotide ribosomal RNA is filed under the name uncultured bacterium. Its description in RNAcentral is "bacterial SSU rRNA". It matches the Rfam family "Bacterial small subunit ribosomal RNA", at positions 28 to 499 of the family's 1533-position model. The record is from RNAcentral.